AGAGUUUGAUCCUGGCUCAGAAUCAACGCUGGCGGCGUGCCUAACACAUGCAAGUCGCACGAGAAAGGGUAGCAAUACCUGAGUAAAGUGGCGCACGGGUGAGUAACACGUGACUAAUCUACCCUCGAGUGGGGAAUAACUGAGAGAAAUCUUAGCUAAUACCGCAUAACACUUACGAGUCAAAGCAGCAAUGCGCUUGGGGAGGAGGUCGCGGCCGAUUAGCUAGUUGGCGGGGUAAUGGCCCACCAAGGCGAUGAUCGGUAUCCGGCCUGAGAGGGCGCACGGACACACUGGAACUGAAACACGGUCCAGACUCCUACGGGAGGCAGCAGUGGGGAAUUUUGCGCAAUGGGGGAAACCCUGACGCAGCAACGCCGCGUGGAGGAUGAAAUAUCUUGGUAUGUAAACUCCUUUCGAUGGGGAAGAUUAUGACGGUACCCAUAGAAGAAGCCCCGGCUAACUUCGUGCCAGCAGCCGCGGUAAUACGAGGGGGGCAAGCGUUGUUCGGAUUUAUUGGGCGUAAAGGGUGCGUAGGCGGUUUGGCAAGUCUUGUGUGAAAUCUUCGGGCUCAACCCGAAGUCUGCACAAGAAACUGCCGGGCUUGAGUAUGGGAGAGGUGAGUGGAAUUUCCGGUGUAGCGGUGAAAUGCGUAGAUAUCGGAAGGAACACCUGUGGCGAAAGCGGCUCGCUGGACCAUAACUGACGCUGAUGCACGAAAGCUAGGGGAGCAAACAGGAUUAGAUACCCUGGUAGUCCUAGCCCUAAACGAUGAUUGUUUGAUGUGGCAGGUACCCAAUCCUGCCGUGUCGAAGCUAACGCGAUAAACAAUCCGCCUGGGGAGUACGGUCGCAAGGCUGAAACUCAAAGGAAUUGACGG
RNAcentral lists this ribosomal RNA (877 nucleotides) under uncultured Terriglobales bacterium. Its description in RNAcentral is "bacterial SSU rRNA". It matches the Rfam family "Bacterial small subunit ribosomal RNA", at positions 8 to 916 of the family's 1533-position model. Lineage: Bacteria; Pseudomonadati; Acidobacteriota; Terriglobia; Terriglobales. The record is from RNAcentral.